AUGCACCUCGCAUAUCUCAUCCUCACCGUCUUCCUGGCCCAGCUCCUGGGCACCACGGGGCAGGACACGGUCACCCAGGAAGAUGGAGCAGUCACUGUGAAGCAGGGACAGCCCUUCCACACCACCUGCAAAUACCAGAGCAGUAAUUUUAAUGGCUUACUCUGGUACCAGCUGCGGAAAGGCCAAGCCCCACAGCUGGUCUCCUAUCAAGCAGGGAGUGGCCCCAGGCACAGCGGCCGUAUCAGCACGCACCUGAACACCACGGGCAAAUACAGUGUCCUGCAGCUGGAGGAAGUGGAGCUCUCUGACAGUGCCUUGUACCUCUGUGCUCUGCAAGACACCCUGCUGCAGGGAGCUUCCUCGGCUGUCCUUGUGUCGCUGAUUGUGCUGGUGCCGAGAGAGGCGGGGGCUGAGGGCGGCCGGGGCGGAGCUGGCGGCGUUGCAGAGGAGGCGGCACGGGCGCAGCAGAGCCGGGGCUGA
This is a non-coding RNA of Vidua macroura (Pin-tailed whydah), 480 nucleotides long. The record is from the annotation of a RefSeq genome assembly. Lineage: Eukaryota; Metazoa; Chordata; Aves; Passeriformes; Viduidae.